GACGAACGCUGGCGGCGUGCUUAACACAUGCAAGUCGAACGAUGAACCCGGAGCUUGCUCCGGUGGAUUAGUGGCGAACGGGUGAGUAACACGUGAGUAACCUGCCCUUGACUCUGGGAUAACUGCGGGAAACUGUAGCUAAUACCGGAUACGACCCUCGGCGGCAUCGCCAGGGGGUGGAAAGAAUUUCGGUCAAGGAUGGACUGCGCGGCCUAUCAGCUAGUUGGUGAGGUAACGGCGCACCAAGGCGACGACGGGUAGCCGGCCGGGGAGGGUGACAGGCCACGCUGGGUCUGGGACACGGCCCAGACGCCUACGGGAGGCAGCAGUGGAGAAUAGUGGACAAUGGGCGCAAGCCUGAUGCAGCAACGCCGCGUGAGUGAUGACGGCCUUCGGGUUGUAAACCUCUUUUAGUAGGGAAGAAGCGAAAGUGACGGUACCUGCAGAGAAAGCACCGGCUAACUACGUGCCAGCAGCCGCCGCCG
Molecule: ribosomal RNA, 485 nt
Filed under: uncultured bacterium
Lineage: Bacteria
Description: partial 16S ribosomal RNA
Rfam family: Bacterial small subunit ribosomal RNA
Source: RNAcentral